RNAcentral lists this long non-coding RNA (1309 nucleotides) under Callithrix jacchus (white-tufted-ear marmoset). RNAcentral's name for it is "lncRNA (ENSCJAG00000072918.1)". The record is from RNAcentral. Lineage: Eukaryota; Metazoa; Chordata; Mammalia; Primates; Cebidae.
AGUAAAAGAAGCAGUGGGGAAAAGGUGACAGGCUUUUUCUGAUAUUUCUGCUUGUCCACCUUUUAUCUCUUCUUCCUUUCUAGAAUGUUCUGAAAGGCAUGCUUUGCAUCUGUUUCCAGUCCUGGGGGCCAGGUUCUACUCCUAGCUUCUGUUUUGCCCUAACCUUAUUGACAUCCUCUUCCUCUUCCUCCUUUCUCAUCUCCUGGGUUCUCCUUUUACAAAGCUGAGUGGGCAGGGCUGGGUCCAAUCCAGCCAAAUACAAAGCUGCCGAAUGCCACUUAUUUAUAUACAGGACAAACGUUUUCAGAUUUCACAGAAGAGGACUAUCACUUUAUAAAUUUUAAAGAAGGGGAAACUACUUCUAUAAACCAAUAGGAAAAAUUCUCCAACUUUUAGUGGGCUAACAUAUAGGAAUCAAUUUUUUUUUAAAUAAAAUAUGUCCUUUUUAAACUGCAUGUUAUUAGCUACUAGUACUUUGUAAAAUCAGUGUAUCCAACCAAAAAUUUUAAAAUAAUAGAACAGAAGAUAUCAGAGUGCAUGACACAUAGUAAGAGAAAGUAAUGUUGCACGAAAAGUUAGAUUCAGUUAAAUAUAUACAAAGGUAUGGGUAUAAGAAUGAGGUUACAAGGUUAAAUGUAUUUCUUCCUGUAGGUGAUCGGCAAAAUAUCUGAGAAUUACUGAAUCCUAACAAUUGCACCUGGUAGUCAACUUGGACACUCAUGUGGGCCUCCCCUCGUCCUGGGAAGGUAUCUGAAGUGUUAGAGUCAAGGUGCCCUCCCAACAUUGCUACCCAGGAACCAGGAAAGGAUACACUGAUGGAUAAGGAAAAAUACAGUUUCACUCAAAUGCAUCAGAGGCAUGUGAACCAGAGCAACUCCAUCUUGAAUGGACCUGGGUAAGAUGAGGCUGAGAUCUACUGGGCUCCAUUCCCAGAUGAUUAAGGCAUUCUAAGUCACAGGAUGAGAUAGGAGUUUGGCACAAAAUACAGGUCAUAAAGAUCUUGCUGAUAAAACAGUUUGCAGUAAAGAAGCCAGCUCUAACCCAUCAAAACCAGGAUGGCCAUAAGAGUGACCUCUGGUCAUCCUCACUACUCCCACCAGCGCUGUAACAGUUGACAAAUGUGAUGGCAACAUCAGGAAGUUACCUUAUAUCGACUAAAAAAGGGAAACAUGAAUAAUCCACCCCUUGUUUAGCAUAUCAUCAAGAAAUAACCAUAAAAAUGGUCAACCAGCUGCCCUAAGGGCUGCUCCUUCUAUGUAGUAGCCAUUCUUUUAUUCCUUCACUUUCUUAAUAAACUUGCUUUCACUUU